Molecule: long non-coding RNA, 532 nt
Organism: Aedes albopictus (Asian tiger mosquito)
Lineage: Eukaryota; Metazoa; Arthropoda; Insecta; Diptera; Culicidae
Exons: 2
Source: RefSeq, a predicted model, not a curated record
CAUGACAGUUCUCGUGCUGUAGUAGUGGUAGGUGAAAUGAGAGUCGAUGACUGAGGUAGAAGGUAAAAAAAAAUAAUAGUUUCGCCAUAGCAUGAAAUUUGAGUCGAUAGUUUGAUAAUUUGUUGAAUUUAUUGCACAAAGCAAUUUGUGGUUGGAGGUGCGUUAAAACCUUAAACAACAGUGUGGUGAAAUUAGUCGGUAGCAUCCGUAAGUAAACAUUUGUAGCUAAAAAGUAUGGAAUCGAUUGGAAAAAUAUUGUAAAUACCUACCUGUAUACUUCCUCAGGUGUGCAAAUAACGGUACCUGGUGACACCUGAAACAAGGAGAAAUAACCAGAACUUACCGUGCAACGGUUACUAUUCAUCCGCGCAAAACCCACCAGUUUAGGGUGACAACACCUAACUUGAACCAACCGUAUGUGAAGAGCAGAAAAGAAGUCGUGGCAGCGGAAACCACUUAAUUGUAAGUUGUUAGUAAUUAAGUUUUGUGUUGUUAAUUGUGCUAAUUGAUAUUUUUGUUAAUAAAUUUCACA